This 930-nucleotide ribosomal RNA is filed under the name arctic soil bacterium RP10TW1. RNAcentral's name for it is "bacterial SSU rRNA". It matches the Rfam family "Bacterial small subunit ribosomal RNA", at positions 28 to 958 of the family's 1533-position model. The record is from RNAcentral.
AUUGAACGCUGGCGGCAUGCCUUACACAUGCAGUCGAACGGUACAGGGAGCUUGCUCCGCUGACGAGUGGCGAACGGGUGAGUAAUAUAUCGGAACGUACCUUUGAGUGGGGGAUAACUAGUCGAAAGAUUAGCUAAUACCGCAUACGAUCUACGGAUGAAAGUGGGGGAUCGCAAGACCUCAUGCUCAUAGAGCGGCCGAUAUCUGAUUAGCUAGUUGGUGAGGUAAAGGCUCACCAAGGCUUCGAUCAGUAGCUGGUCUGAGAGGACGACCAGCCACACUGGGACUGAGACACGGCCCAGACUCCUACGGGAGGCAGCAGUGGGGAAUUUUGGACAAUGGGGGCAACCCUGAUCCAGCAAUGCCGCGUGAGUGAAGAAGGCCUUCGGGUUGUAAAGCUCUUUUGUCAGGGAAGAAACGGUCUGAUCUAAUACAUUGGGCUAAUGACGGUACCUGAAGAAUAAGCACCGGCUAACUACGUGCCAGCAGCCGCGGUAAUACGUAGGGUGCAAGCGUUAAUCGGAAUUACUGGGCGUAAAGCGUGCGCAGGCGGUUAUGUAAGACAGGUGUGAAAUCCCCGGGCUUAACCUGGGAAUGGCAUUUGUGACUGCAUAGCUAGAGUGUGUCAGAGGGGGGUAGAAUUCCACGUGUAGCAGUGAAAUGCGUAGAGAUGUGGAGGAAUACCGAUGGCGAAGGCAGCCCCCUGGGAUAACACUGACGCUCAUGCACGAAAGCGUGGGGAGCAACAGGAUUAGAUACCCUGGUAGUCCACGCCCUAAACGAUGUCUACUAGUUGUCGGGUCUUAAUUGACUUGGUAACGCAGCUAACGCGUGAAGUAGACCGCCUGGGGAGUACGGUCGCAAGAUAAAACUCAAAGGAUUGACGGGGACCCCCACAAGCCGUGGAUGAUGGUGGAUUAAUUCGAUGCA